AGAGUUUGAUCCUGGCUCAGGAUGAACGCUAGCUACAGGCUUAACACAUGCAAGUCGAGGGGAAACGAUAUUGGAAGCUUGCUUCCGAUAGGCGUCGACCGGCGCACGGGUGAGUAACGCGUAUCCAACCUGCCCACCACUUGGGGAUAACCUUGCGAAAGUAAGACUAAUACCCAAUGACGUCUCUAGAAGACAUCUGAAGGAGAUUAAAGAUUUAUCGGUGAUGGAUGGGGAUGCGUCUGAUUAGCUUGUUGGCGGGGUAACGGCCCACCAAGGCAACGAUCAGUAGGGGUUCUGAGAGGAAGGUCCCCCACAUUGGAACUGAGACACGGUCCAAACUCCUACGGGAGGCAGCAGUGAGGAAUAUUGGUCAAUGGGCGAGAGCCUGAACCAGCCAAGUAGCGUGCAGGAAGACGGCCCUAUGGGUUGUAAACUGCUUUUAUAAGGGAAUAAAGUUAGUCUCGUGAGACUUUUUGCAUGUACCUUAUGAAUAAGGACCGGCUAAUUCCGUGCCAGCAGCCGCGGUAAUACGGAAGGUCCGGGCGUUAUCCGGAUUUAUUGGGUUUAAAGGGAGCGUAGGCCGGAGAUUAAGCGUGUUGUGAAAUGUAGACGCUCAACGUCUGCACUGCAGCGCGAACUGGUUUCCUUGAGUACGCACAAAGUGGGCGGAAUUCGUGGUGUAGCGGUGAAAUGCUUAGAUAUCACGAAGAACUCCGAUUGCGAAGGCAGCUCACUGGAGCGCAACUGACGCUGAAGCUCGAAAGUGCGGGUAUCGAACAGGAUUAGAUACCCUGGUAGUCCGCACGGUAAACGAUGGAUGCCCGCUGUUGGUCUGAACAGGUCAGCGGCCAAGCGAAAGCAUUAAGCAUCCCACCUGGGGAGUACGCCGGCAACGGUGAAACUCAAAGGAAUUGACGGGGGCCCGCACAAGCGGAGGAACAUGUGGUUUAAUUCGAUGAUACGCGAGGAACCUUACCCGGGCUUGAAUUGCAGAGGAAGGAUUUGGAGACAAUGACGCCCUUCGGGGUCUCUGUGAAGGUGCUGCAUGGUUGUCGUCAGCUCGUGCCGUGAGGUGUCGGCUUAAGUGCCAUAACGAGCGCAACCCCUCUCCUUAGUUGCCAUCAGGUUAAGCUGGGCACUCUGGGGACACUGCCACCGUAAGGUGUGAGGAAGGUGGGGAUGACGUCAAAUCAGCACGGCCCUUACGUCCGGG
Molecule: ribosomal RNA, 1213 nt
Filed under: metagenome
Description: bacterial SSU rRNA
Rfam family: Bacterial small subunit ribosomal RNA
Source: RNAcentral